GUAAGUCGCGCGUGAAAGGCGCAAGCCAAGUAAAGCGGCGAACGGGUCAGUAAUACGUAGCCAACCUACCCCCGAGAUUGGGAUAACCACUGGAAACGGUGGCUAAAACCAAAUGGUCCACCUGGAGGUAUCUCCGGACUGGUAAAUGGCGGCGAAAGCUGCCGCUCAGGGAUGGGGCUACGGGCUAUCAGCUAGUUGGCGGGGUAACGGCUCACCAAGGCUAUGACGGCUAGGCGGUCUGAGAGGAUGGUCGCCGACACUGGGACUGAGACACUGCCCAGACUCCUACGGGAGGCUGCAGUCGAGGAUCUUCCGCAAUGGGCGAAAGCCUGACGGAGCGACACCGCGUGCAGGAUGAAGGCCUUCGGGUUGUAAACUGCUGUCAAACUAUAGGAAACGCGAGGCGUUAAUAGCGCUUCGCCUGACUACGGUGAGAGGAAGCACCGGCUAACCCUGUGCCAGCAGCCGCGGUAAUACAGGGGGUGCAAACGUUGCUCGGAAUCACUGGGCAUAAAGCGCACGUAGGCCGCUAGCUAAGUCAGGUGUGAAAGCCCCCGGCUCAACCGAGGAACAGCAUCUGAUACUGGCUAGCUCGAGAAUGGUAGGGGUGAGUGGAACUCCAGGUGGAGCGGUGAAAUGCGUAGAUAUCUGGAUGAACACCGGUGGCGAAAGCGGCUCACUGGACCAUUUCUGACGCUGA
This 700-nucleotide ribosomal RNA is filed under the name uncultured bacterium. RNAcentral's name for it is "bacterial SSU rRNA". It matches the Rfam family "Bacterial small subunit ribosomal RNA", at positions 57 to 749 of the family's 1533-position model. The record is from RNAcentral.